Mustela erminea (ermine) is the source of this 107-nucleotide small nuclear RNA. The record is from RefSeq and is a predicted model, not a curated record. NCBI's taxonomy places the organism in Eukaryota, Metazoa, Chordata, Mammalia, Carnivora, Mustelidae.
AUGCUCACUUUCGUAGCACAUUCCACGAAAACUGGAAUGAACAGAGAACAUUAGCAUGACCCCUGCACAAAGAUGACAGGCAAACUUGUAAAAUGUUCCUUAUUUUU